GCGGGUGUAGUUCAAUGGCAGAACAACGGCCUUCCAAGCCGUAUAUGACGGUUCGAUUCCGUUCACCCGCU
RNAcentral lists this transfer RNA (71 nucleotides) under Candidatus Omnitrophota bacterium. Its description in RNAcentral is "tRNA-Gly". It matches the Rfam family "tRNA". From Rfam's summary of the family: Transfer RNA (tRNA) molecules are approximately 80 nucleotides in length. Their secondary structure includes four short double-helical elements and three loops (D, anti-codon, and T loops). Lineage: Bacteria; Pseudomonadati; Candidatus Omnitrophota. The record is from RNAcentral.